GAGCGAUAAGGAACAGCUGUUAGGCUACCCGUAAUCACUGAUGGCUGUGUUUUACCCACUGUAGAACUCAGAAUGAGAAAUAUGAAGAUUGCAGAAGUGCUGUUGUUUGCAAUGGCUGCAUUGCACUGUGGGAUAACAGAAGACAUAGACUUUAUUAUAGGUAACUGUAAUGGUAUCGUCAGACUUCGUUGUACAGCUACUGAUCGCACAACAACUUACCGUUACGUCAUGUGGUAUAAAUCAGAUAAUAUUCCCAUCAUCAAGAGGAAAAACCAUGAAUAUACAUAUAACUUGACCAAUGUUUCUCUGGAAGAUAAAGAAACCCUGGUGUUAAAUAAUGUGCAACCUUCAGACUCUGGACAAUAUAAAUGCUACCUGGCUGCAGAGGUUGGAGGUCAAAAUGACUAUUCUUUUAUUGAAUUGAAUAUCUCAGAAUGCUUGGAUGUGAGCACAGUUUAUCCCAUCACCACCACGAUCCCUGCUGAUUCCUGUCCUGCUGUAGAAGAAUUAACUGUUCCCUGGACUGUGAUUGGCCUUUCUCUUAUUAGUGUCACCAAAGUCAUUCUUUGCAUUGUAACUGUGGGGGUGUGUGAUCGAGUCAUAUUUAGAACAGUAAGAAGAAAUCAGGAAGUAAGGGGAAGCAAGACUGGAAGGUCAAGCUGGAAAGACUGAGAUUCACAAAAAGCUGAUGGGGUCAUUUUAGUUUUACGCAUCCAUUAGCCAAGUUAAAACAGUCCAAGCCUGUAAACAUUUACAAGGUUGUUCACACCAUUAGGUGUGUUGAUAGGAUCCGUUUUAUUUCUGUGUGGUUUUGCUAUUCUUAAUGACUUUUUAUGGAUGGCUUAUUCCUAGGGGAGGAAGGACGGGCUGUAAUGGGAGCUGUUUUAUAGCUGUUGAGGGAGACAAGAGUCAUGGAGGGUUGCAAUUCAUUAGAUUCAGCAAUUCAGCUGCACACUGUUGCCUUUUGUUUGUUUUUACAUNNNNNNNNNNNNNNNNUUUUUUUUUUUUUUUUUUUCCCCCCCCCCCCCCCCCCCCCCAUAUGUUAUAAUUGUAUAUCCUCUAUAAAUAUUUUUUUACUGUCUGUAUCACAUUUAUGUACUUUAUGAAUCUUAAGGUUUAUUACUAGGGCUGCCA
This 1134-nucleotide long non-coding RNA is filed under the name Sinocyclocheilus grahami. Its description in RNAcentral is "lncRNA (ENSSGRG00000048105.1)". Lineage: Eukaryota; Metazoa; Chordata; Actinopteri; Cypriniformes; Cyprinidae. The record is from RNAcentral.